This 1342-nucleotide ribosomal RNA is filed under the name uncultured bacterium. RNAcentral's name for it is "bacterial SSU rRNA". It matches the Rfam family "Bacterial small subunit ribosomal RNA", at positions 28 to 1381 of the family's 1533-position model. The record is from RNAcentral.
GACGAACGCUGGCGGCGUGCUUAACACAUGCAAGUCGAACGAUGAAGCCCAGCUUGCUGGGUGGAUUAGUGGCGAACGGGUGAGUAACACGUGAGUAACCUGCCCUUGACUCUGGGAUAAGCGUUGGAAACGACGUCUAAUACCGGAUACGAGCUUCCACCGCAUGGUGAGUUGCUGGAAAGAAUUUUGGUCAAGGAUGGACUCGCGGCCUAUCAGCUUGUUGGUGAGGUAACGGCUCACCAAGGCGACGACGGGUAGCCGGCCUGAGAGGGUGACCGGCCACACUGGGACUGAGACACGGCCCAGACUCCUACAGGAGGCAGCAGUGGGGAAUAUUGCACAAUGGGCGAAAGCCUGAUGCAGCAACGCCGCGUGAGGGACGACGGCCUUCGGGUUGUAAACCUCUUUUAGCAGGGAAGAAGCGAAAGUGACGGUACCUGCAGAAAAAGCACCGGCUAACUACGUGCCAGCAGCCGCGGUAAUACGUAGGGUGCAAGCGUUGUCCGGAAUUAUUGGGCGUAAAGAGCUCGUAGGCGGUUUGUCGCGUCUGCUGUGAAAUCCCGAGGCUCAACCUCGGGUCUGCAGUGGGUACGGGCAGACUAGAGUGCGGUAGGGGAGAUUGGAAUUCCUGGUGUAGCGGUGGAAUGCGCAGAUAUCAGGAGGAACACCGAUGGCGAAGGCAGAUCUCUGGGCCGCUACUGACGCUGAGGAGCGAAAGGGUGGGGAGCAAACAGGCUUAGAUACCCUGGUAGUCCACCCCGUAAACGUUGGGCGCUAGAUGUGGGGACCAUUCCACGGUUUCCGUGUCGUAGCUAACGCAUUAAGCGCCCCGCCUGGGGAGUACGGCCGCAAGGCUAAAACUCAAAGGAAUUGACGGGGGCCCGCACAAGCGGCGGAGCAUGCGGAUUAAUUCGAUGCAACGCGAAGAACCUUACCAAGGCUUGACAUAUACGAGAACGGGCCAGAAAUGGUCAACUCUUUGGACACUCGUAAACAGGUGGUGCAUGGUUGUCGUCAGCUCGUGUCGUGAGAUGUUGGGUUAAGUCCCGCAACGAGCGCAACCCUCGUUCUAUGUUGCCAGCACGUCAUGGUGGGAACUCAUGGGAUACUGCCGGGGUCAACUCGGAGGAAGGUGGGGACGACGUCAAAUCAUCAUGCCCCUUAUGUCUUGGGCUUCACGCAUGCUACAAUGGCCAGUACAAAGGGCUGCAAUACCGUAAGGUGGAGCGAAUCCCAAAAAGCUGGUCCCAGUUCGGAUUGAGGUCUGCAACUCGACCUCAUGAAGUCGGAGUCGCUAGUAAUCGCAGAUCAGCAACGCUGCGGUGAAUACGUUCCCGGGCCU